This 82-nucleotide small RNA is filed under the name Pseudomonas sp. AD21. Its description in RNAcentral is "STnc100". Lineage: Bacteria; Pseudomonadati; Pseudomonadota; Gammaproteobacteria; Pseudomonadales; Pseudomonadaceae. The record is from RNAcentral.
ACCCACUGAACAUCUUGUAAUCGUCAGUGGUUAGUUUGGUUGAAUGAAAAAGGCCCAUCUUCGGAUGGGCCUUUUUUAUUGC